GACUCCUACGGGAGGCAGCAGUGGGGAAUAUUGCACAAUGGGCGCAAGCCUGAUGCAGCAACGCCGCGUGAGUGAUGAAGGCCUUCGGGUCGUAAAGCUCUGUCCUCAAGGAAGAAUAAAUGACGGUACUUGAGGAGGAAGCCCCGGCUAACUACGUGCCAGCAGCCGCGGUAAUACGUAGGGGGCAAGCGUUAUCCGGAAUCACUGGGCGUAAAGGGUGCGUAGGCGGUUUUUCAAGUCAGAAGUGAAAGGCUAUGGCUCAACCAUAGUAAGCUUUUGAAACUGUUAAACUUGAGUGCAGGAGAGGAAAGUGGAAUUCCUAGUGUAGAGGUGAAAUUCGUAGAUAUUAGGAGGAACACCAGUGGCGAAGGCGACUUUCUGGACUGUAACUGACGCUGAGGCACGAAAGCGUGGGGAGCGAACAGGAUUAGAUACCCUGGUAG
This 443-nucleotide ribosomal RNA is filed under the name uncultured bacterium. Its description in RNAcentral is "bacterial SSU rRNA". It matches the Rfam family "Bacterial small subunit ribosomal RNA", at positions 334 to 793 of the family's 1533-position model. The record is from RNAcentral.